UGUGUACUCCCUCCGUUCCAAAAUACUUGACUUCCAUUUGUCCAAAAAUGUAUGUACCUAUAUACUAAAACAUGUCUAGAUACAUAUAUAUUUUGACAAAUAGAAGGCAUGUAUUGUGCAACGAAGGGAGUAGAAU
Molecule: non-coding RNA, 136 nt
Organism: Triticum aestivum (bread wheat)
Lineage: Eukaryota; Viridiplantae; Streptophyta; Magnoliopsida; Poales; Poaceae
Source: Rfam